RNAcentral lists this transfer RNA (80 nucleotides) under Cordylochernes scorpioides. Its description in RNAcentral is "tRNA-Thr". The record is from RNAcentral. Lineage: Eukaryota; Metazoa; Arthropoda; Arachnida; Pseudoscorpiones; Chernetidae.
AAAAUGGGAUGGGAAUCGAACCCACAGUGUUUUGCUUACCAGGCAGAUGCCAUGUCCACUAGUCUACCCUGGACAUAUUU